Gasterosteus aculeatus aculeatus (three-spined stickleback) is the source of this 4574-nucleotide long non-coding RNA. The record is from Ensembl. NCBI's taxonomy places the organism in Eukaryota, Metazoa, Chordata, Actinopteri, Perciformes, Gasterosteidae.
CCCAAGAUAAGCCUGAGCACACGCGUGUGAUCGGUGGGGGCUGUAAUGAGCCGUUCCACUCGGCCGCGUUCAGCCUUUAUUGUGGUUUUCGUGCAGUCGGCAGAGCUGUUUGUUCUUUAAAGGACUGAGAUGCCAGCAACGACUACGAAUACGCUGAACCUGAUACAGAUUGUGGGGGUCAAAUAGCAGCUGGAGAUGUGCAGUAAAAGAACAAGAAGAAGUGCAGCCCUCAGGAGAAGCUGAGUGAAGGUCUCCUGUGGGCGGCGCGUCUCCGUCACAACCUCAAAGAUACAAGACGAAACCACAAAUCAUCAUUUCGUGGCCUCGUUUGUCUUCUUCAUCUCCGCGGCGGCGCUGAAGUCAAAGCCGCGGCGCCGCACAGAAAACUCACAUAUUGACUGAACGUGGCGCGCUGGCCCUCGAGAAGGAAGGGGAAGAAGAGCUGGAACACCACCAGCGUGGAGUUACGGAGGCCGCCGCGGUGAACGCGACAUGGAGGACCUCCGCCGUCACAACUAUUAGCUCGGUUCCUCUGACGCCCGGGAACACUGUCGCUUCUGAUCGCUCCUCCAGCGACGACCACGUCCGCUAGAAGAAAAGCCUUCACGCGUUCGGGCUGCAGGGUUCCCGAUGGACCGCUUCUUCUUCUCGCUGGCAUUAACGCCGUCGAACCUUUUUCUGUGUGCGAUCACACGUCGUCUGCGUGGAAACCAGAGGAGGAACAAGAGGACCUGCGAUUACAGGGAGGUUCUUCUGCUGUGAGUGAGACCCGUGAGUUUUAGAAGUGCUAUUCCAUAAUUAGACGUCUGGUGAGAGAGAGAGAGAUUUACUAAUUGCCCGAAACAGGUCGUUUACAAAGUAUCACAUGUUUUCAGUAUGAAUUCCCAAAAAUGACUGAGACUGAGUGGAAGCUAAUUCUCUUAAAUCGCUCGCGUGUCGCCUCUGGUUUGCGUGCUAAUACCUGUAAAAGCUUCUUGACGUCAGUCUCGUCCCGUCCAAGCAGGUAAAGUGAGGAGCGCCAAAGAGGCUUAACUCCCCUCAGUCCAUUCAGCUCCUCUGGACAGAGCGGCCGGGGUGUAAUAACGAGAACAAACGCACCCAACGAGGCAAAAAAAGGGGUGGGACAAAGGGAGCGCGCCGCGUUUCCAUCAGCCAUCGGCGCCCUCAAUCUGACACCAUCAGGCCCGACUGACCCCCCCCCCCCGCCCCCCGACUGACCGUCUGGAACAAAGUGUGAAAAUUCUUUUGGAAGCCCCGACAUCGGAGAGCGAGCAAUCUGCUUCCGACUCCCCUCCGAAUCCCGACCGUGAUUACAAAUAACCAAGUGGAGCUCGUGAGCUACUCGAGCAGCGACUAAGCUCCCAGACGCAGCCGGUAGAAGCCCCCACCCCCGAGUGGUGGAAAGAUCCCUGCGCGAGUAGAAGUUGAGCAGCGGGGGGCCACUUCUCACCGUCUACACGGACACUGUCGCCUUGUUUACCGGAGCCGAUCGAUCUCCUGCGUCUUCUACGUCGGCUCGUCAUUUUCUCUCCUUUGCGUCAGGCCUCUCGAGGGGGGAGGGAGAGCCGAAAAGAGACGGUAGGUGCGAGAUAUGGUCAAAGGCAAAGUGAAAAUUAAUUAGCUCCGAAAAAAGAAUGGCUUGCUGGCACAGAAAAGAAGCUUCGCGUUUAACUGAUCCCAGAGCUCAUUGUCACCAGAGCAGCGCGCGGCCCCCCGGCCCCUCGCCGCGCAAGCUGCACCUUCCUUUGUCUGCACCAUCGCUCCGUGGAGGAAACUGAAAAGAACCUGGCGUGAUUAAGACGCCUGAAUAGACCCCCCCCUCCUCCCUCCUCUCUCUCAUCACCGCCGUCGCUAUCUACACGCCGUCACUCGCCGCCAGUUCACCUGGACGGCACGCGACUGUUUCUUAAAGGUGUUUUUCUGUGGUUGGUUAAGACGUUGUUCACACACGAAUGACUUCCCUGAUGAACGCCCCCCCCCCCUCCAGGUGUCGUCCUAAUCAGCGAGCAUUGUGGGCAAUCUUAUCACGGUGUUUCUCAAUUGUUUGAAGUCAUUGUCACUCCGCUGCUCGGGGGCACAAUGACUGCUCGCACAAACGCCGCGGCGGAACCGCAGCGCCUUUUGUUCACGUUUGUCACCCUGCGUUUUUAAACUUAAAUCACCGGCGAGCAACUCAGACGCCUCAUGAGGUCACGAUGGUUCUAUCGGCGAGCGGAGCUGCGGCAGUAAAAGAGGCGAGCAGUGAUCUGCAGCGAGGAGAUCCGGGCCCUUCGGAGCUCUGGAAGAUGCAGGUGCAGGGCGAAGCGGCGGAGGCUCCUCGGGGGGCCGUGACGAUGACGAGGUGCCGACGGGGGGGAAGAAGAGUUCAUGAAGUCCAAGGCGGUUUGGCAGAAUGACAGAGUCUCCUACAAAGCACCCAAACGGUAGAAAAUACCUCUUCAUCGAACCUGCGAUUCAUUCAUUCAUUCAGACAUUAUUCGCCGUCGGGGUCGGUCAGCUGUCACUAAACCGGGAUUACCGCAUCCGCUCCAACGCAUUCAAAUGUGCGGCUGAGCGGCAGCUCACACGAGGGAGGACGGAGGGACACGCCAGGGUCAGAUUCCAUCUCCCUGAUCCAGAGAGAGGGAGAUUUCUCUCUACCGCUUCACGCCGACUGGUUCCCAACAAACAGGGAGGAGAGAGAAUAGCGUUCGGUCCACUUCCUGUCUCUCGUCCUCUGCACAGGGCAUCGCGGUGACGUCCCAAUAAACAUUAACAUUGUAUGUGUGUAUUAAGAGCUGUCAGUUAUUUAAUCUUUGUUCAAUCAGGCCGUGUAAUUGAGAUUAACAUCUCUUCUCUGCAGAGAGACCUGAGAGAAUAAGAGACAUCCACGAGAACAAUAAACAGGCACUUGAAGCAGUUCGGAGAAAGGAUUGUGAGGACGAACGUGUCUUUAACGAUUGCAACGCCGCCACAUCCCUCUUCUUUAAUAACUUGACUUUGUCUGGAAGUUACAGCGCAACAAAGACGCUGGAAUAGAAACGGACAAAACAGGAAACCAUUUCACCACGUAGUUCGUACUAGAAAAUAAUACAUCCAAAUCAACUAAAUCAGUCAAAAGGAUUAUGUAUUUAUUUUACUUUUAGCAAAGUUCUGCUUUGCUUUAAAAUCACCCUUUAAAACAAGAAGUCAAAUCCAUUAUUUGCAUGUUUUUUCCACCAUCUAUUUGAGAGCCUCGCUGACCUGUCAUUUCGUAUUUGUGCUCUCCAAAAAAGAACCAGCAGAGGCCAACAGUGACCUUUUGACCCUUCGAGAUGAGGUUGUAUUCCUGCGUGUAAAAUGCGUCUCUCUCCCUCGGCGCCGAUGAGCUGAAAAAUAAAUUGACUGGGAGAUUGCGAAGCGUGCAGCUGGUGUCUGUGUUUGUAUUUUAAGGAAUUCAAACGAGAAAAGGCAUUGAAUGGAAGUCAGGUGUAACCUUCACUAUUGUCACGCAGAAAAAGCCACCAAAUGUUUGAAGGCCCGUCAGAUCGCAACACCGUCGCCUUCUGCAAGACGCCGCUUCACCCGUCUCCUUUUUUUUGCAUGAAACAUUUAGCAGCGCGGCGACGACUAACAAUACAUUAGGCGUGUGUUUCUCAGCAUGCGCACAUGCAUAUUUAAAGAGGGGUUUUUUUUAUAUCUGCUCGCGGACAUUUAUGCACGUUGUGUUUCUGCAGAGCCACGCUGCGCUUUGCACGGCGAGGCCUAAAAACAUCGUCUGAUGCGUCGUCUGUUUUACAGAGAGCAUCCGAGGUGACAGCGGAUGGGAAAAGGACCUGAUCAGUAUCUUUAAAAAGGUCUAAACACUAACGGGACAGAUGCGUCUCAGCGCCGCGCUCAUCCCUCAGCUGGAAUCUAAUAACGAACCUAAUGAAGAUCUGCAGGUCGCAGCGUCUUCCUGUGCACCGAUGAAGCUCCAUCCUCCUGUGAAGAGCCCUCUGAGCCCCCCUCCCCCGGGAAAACCCAGUGUGGUUAAACACCAUUUAAAGAUCCUUUAAAUCAAGAAAAACAAAACAAUUAGGAUGUGAAUUGGUAUUGAACGGCGGCUUUGAAGGAGCUCUGAUUCCUGCCGCUGUUUUGUGCGGGUUUGCUGUUUCCCAACAGGAAGCUGUUUUGAUGUGCACGUUUAAUAAUGAACAAAGAGAUCUCUCCCCCGCAGGCGGAUCAUUAUUUCUACCCUACUUUGAAACCCCCGACAUUGUAGUCGUUGUAAUAAAGCCACAGUCUGAUCUUUGACUGUCAUGUACACGUCAUUCUCCGCCGUCUUUCUUUGCAUCCCUUUUCAAAAAAGGAAUCUCAUUAAACAGGAUGUUGUGCAGCAGCCCCCCCGUCCCCCCCCCCGACCCCCCCGGCUGGGGGGAGAUUCCUAAUUGGGCUUUGGGAUCACACACUUGCCCUCGCUCACAUUGAUUUCACCCCUUCCAGCGUCGAGCUUAAGCACCACAUUUUUCAUAGCCUACAUAUUCAAUUAAUGUCGAAGGGAGGUUCCGUUUCCCCUUCAAAGUUCACAGUGGUGGAUAUCGCUCGUGACGGCUCCGUAAUGGAAAGCGUUUAAG